This 246-nucleotide ribosomal RNA is filed under the name uncultured fungus. RNAcentral describes it as "partial small subunit ribosomal RNA". It matches the Rfam family "Eukaryotic small subunit ribosomal RNA", at positions 1324 to 1591 of the family's 1831-position model. The record is from RNAcentral. Lineage: Eukaryota; Fungi.
ACCGAUAACGAACGAGAACCUUAACCUGCUAAAUAGUCCGGCCGGCUUUUGCUGGUCGCAGACUUCUUAGAGGGACUGUCAGCGUCUAGCUGACGGAAGUUUGAGGCAAUAACAGGUCUGUGAUGCCCUUAGAUGUUCUGGGCCGCACGCGCGCUACACUGACAGAGCCAGCGAGUUUUCACCUUGGCCGGAAGGUCUGGGUAAUCUUGUGAAACUUUGUCGUGCUGGGGAUAGAGCAUUGCAAUC